GCAUUCGGGUGCCGAAAUGCACCCAUUUUGCAUCAUUUUUCGUUCCGGAACCGAAUGCUCAAAAACACUCCCAAACAUGUUCUAGGGUAUAAUUAGGAAUAUUGCAUGCGUUCGUUGCGAAAAAAUCCACCCGAGUUUCGCUACCUGGCAAUAUGCAUUCGGGUGCCGAAAUGCACCCGUUUUGCAUCAUUUUUCGUUCCGGAACCGAAUGCUCAAAAACACUCCCAAACAUGUUUUAGGGUAUAAUUAGGAAGAUUGCAUGCGUUCGUUGCGAAAAAAUCCACUCGAGUUUCGCUACCCGGCAAUAUGCAAUCGGGUGCCGAAAUGCACCCGUUUUGCAUCAUUUUUCGUUCCGGAACCGAAUGCUCAAAAACACUCCCAAACAUGUUCUAGGGUAUAAUUAGGAAGAUUGCAUGCGUUCGUUGCGAAAAAAUCCACCCGAGUUUCGCUACCCGGCAAUAUGCAAUCGGGUGCCGAAAUGCACCCGUUUUGCAUCAUUUUUCGUUCCGGAACCGAAUGCUAAAAAACACUCCCAAACAUGUUCUAGGGUAUAAUUAUGAAGAUUGCAUGCGUUCGUUGCGAAAAAAUCCACCCGAGUUUCGCUACCCGGCAAUAUGCAUUCGGGUACCGAAAUGCACCCGUAUUGCAUCAUUUUUCGUUCCGGAACCGAAUGCUCAAAAACACUACCAAACAUGUUCUAGGGUAUAAUUAUGAAGAUUGCAUGCGUUCGUUGCGAAAAAAUCUAAUCGAGUUUCGCUACACGGAAAAAGUGCAUUCGGGUGCCGAAAUGCACCCGUUUUGCAUCAUUUUUCGUUCCGGAACCGAAUGCUCAAAAACACUCCCAAACAUGUUCUAGGGUAUAAUUAUGAAGAUUGCAUGCGUUCGUUGCGAAAAAAUCCACCCGAGUUUCGCUAC
This 915-nucleotide long non-coding RNA is filed under the name Setaria viridis. RNAcentral's name for it is "long non-coding RNA (SVIR_LNC006926)". Lineage: Eukaryota; Viridiplantae; Streptophyta; Magnoliopsida; Poales; Poaceae. The record is from RNAcentral.